AGACCCGAAACCCGGUGAUCUAGCCAUGGGCAGGUUGAAGGUUGGGUAACACUAACUGGAGGACCGAACCGACUAAUGUUGAAAAAUUAGCGGAUGACCUGUGGCUGGGGGUGAAAGGCCAAUCAAACCGGGAGAUAGCUGGUUCUCCCCGAAAGCUAUUUAGGUAGCGCCUCGUGAAUUCAUCUCCGGGGGUAGAGCACUGUUUCGGCUAGGGGGCCAUCCCGGCUUACCAACCCGAUGCAAACUGCGAAUACCGGAGAAUGUUAUCACGGGAGACACACGGCGGGUGCUAACGUCCGUCGUGAAGAGGGAAACAACCCAGACCGCCAGCUAAGGUCCCAAAGUCAUGGUUAAGUGGGAAACGAUGUGGGAAGGCCCAGACAGCCAGGAUGUUGGCUUAGAAGCAGCCAUCAUUUAAAGAAAGCGUAAUAGCUCACUGGUCGAGUCGGCCUGCGCGGAAGAUGUAACGGGGCUAAACCAUGCACCGAAGCUGCGGCAGCGAACGUAUCACUUAAAGCGAUUCAGCGGGUUACGAUUGACGGAGCGAAGCGACGUCAAAGCGUAUACAAAGUCGAGUCGGUUUAAGGAUACGUUCGUUGGGUAGGGGAGCGUUCUGUAAGCCUGUGAAGGUGUGUCGUGAGGCAUG
Molecule: ribosomal RNA, 646 nt
Filed under: Salmonella enterica subsp. enterica serovar Infantis
Lineage: Bacteria; Pseudomonadati; Pseudomonadota; Gammaproteobacteria; Enterobacterales; Enterobacteriaceae
Description: partial 23S ribosomal RNA
Rfam family: Bacterial large subunit ribosomal RNA
Source: RNAcentral